Non-coding RNA from Drosophila melanogaster (fruit fly), 1620 nucleotides. Lineage: Eukaryota; Metazoa; Arthropoda; Insecta; Diptera; Drosophilidae. The record is from Ensembl.
AGGCUAACAAAUUUGGCAAUUGCAUUUUAGCCGUUUAGAGCAAGUUUCCUUAAAGUGCUGCUGCCCGGUUGUCGGUCGCGUUUCCUCAUCGCUUUAUUAAGAACUUUACUUAAUUCCGGGCCGCGAAAUAAUAAUACCAUAAAUCUGGUAAAAGCUUUAGGCAGCAAUUGCCACUCGACUUCCUAACGCUUAUCGGCCUAAACGCUUUGGCCAGUUGCCCAGUUAGUUGAUCGCUGUAUCAAACAGUAUUAUCAGACUUUUUUCGGGUCGCAUGAAGUCAUGGAAGUCAUGGAGCACACGACUCAUACCGAAUACGGUAUACCUCGUCAUCACUCUUAUCGCCAGCGACUAAUUGAUUUGAUUGCGAUACGGUUGCAACUUGAAUGAAACGCCUCUACUCAAUGAGCGAGCACUUUCCCUAGCUGGUAGAAUUUGGAAAAAAAAGGGACAAUGCCUUCCUUAUCGAUGCCAAUUAAACAAUUAUGCGAAAAUAGCUCAGGUGUGCUCAUGACCACCAGACAAUAGACGUUUCGAGUGGUAAGCAAGGUAUAAAUAGACACAUCAUGUGCCCGCGCUAAAUCGGCAAGCGCUCCCAAAAAACAAUGAACUCAGACACCAAAGUCGAAAUCGAAGUUGUGGCGGCCAUAUAUCUUGUAUUUCUAUAUUUCAUAUCGAUCGAGCCCCCACGCCGUGUCUGCUGAUUUUCUACCAUAUCGGAUGGCGGCGGGUCAUAAAUGCCAUUAGCAUGAGUCCAGCCAGCAGUGUCCAGAAUUGGACAUUGUUUCUACUGGAUGAUCCGAUGGCCAUGGGCUGGUUGCAUCCAUCGUCCUGGCACAGCUGGCAUCCGGCCACCGUCCAGUUCUCGAAGAGACCAUCGCAUCCACCCGUCUGAUUGCUCCUCCUGGCGGUGGUGCAGCCCCUCUUGGUGAUCGUCGAUUCGUUAACUGUGGAGCAGUGCAUUUCAGUUUGCACUGUGUGCUAUUUUCGCAUGACUCAGUCGUAGAUAACUUAUCGCCAUGGGUGGGGGAGCAUCACACCAGGCGGCGUUUUUAUGAUUUUUAUGAUGCACACCCAUGGGAAUGGGCGGCAGUUGCUUACGUUGGAGCCUCACUGUGUAACAGAAGGCAAUUGGCACAUCGAGAUCGACCUGUCGUGCAUUCGAUCUCCGCCUGCGUCGCUCCUCAUCCUCCUCAUCUUCGUCCUCUUCCUCCUCUUCGCUUACAACUUCUUCCGCUGCUGAUCCAUCUGCUCCUCCAGCUGCUCCUCCGGUUGCUCCUCCAGCUGCUCCUCCGCCUACAGCAGCUGUUCCGGAUCCUGCUGGCAUGAUGCCUAUGGUCGCCGAUUCUUCGCUUUCAGAGUCCUCUUCCUCUUCGCUGGCAUCGGAGGAGGAGAAGGAGCCAGGAGCACUAUUUGUAUUAUUCGUUUCAGCUGGUGAUGGAGAAGGAGCAGGAUUUGGUUUCGUGCUGGAGUUGCCGCCCAUCAGUGGACUCUCACACACUUCCAUUUCACUUAGCUGCGUAUUUUCAUCGCAGUCUUCACAUUUGUAGCAACGCAAAGCUGGGCAAAGAAGAGAUUUUAAAUAAAUAUUAAGUAAAAAUAAAAAUAUGCCACCUUGCUCAU